RNAcentral lists this ribosomal RNA (301 nucleotides) under uncultured bacterium. RNAcentral describes it as "partial 16S ribosomal RNA". It matches the Rfam family "Bacterial small subunit ribosomal RNA", at positions 509 to 809 of the family's 1533-position model. The record is from RNAcentral.
CAGUCGCCGCGGUAAUGCGAAGGGGACUAGCGUUGUUCGGAUUUACUGGGCGUAAAGGGCGCGUAGGCGGACUGAUAAGUCAGGGGUGAAAUCCCAAGGCUCAACCUUGGAACUGCCUUUGAUACUGUUUGUCUUGAGUUCGAGAGAGGUAAGUGGAACUGCGAGUGUAGAGGUGAAAUUCGUAGAUAUUCGCAAGAACACCAGUGGCGAAGGCGGCUUACUGGCUCGAAACUGACGCUGAGGCGCGAAAGCGUGGGGAGCAAACAGGAUUAGAUACCCCAGUAGUCCCUGUCUCUUAUAA